Molecule: long non-coding RNA, 942 nt
Organism: Gossypium arboreum
Lineage: Eukaryota; Viridiplantae; Streptophyta; Magnoliopsida; Malvales; Malvaceae
Exons: 3
Source: RefSeq, a predicted model, not a curated record
UGAAAGGGUCAAUUUUUUUAAAAAAAAUGAAUCUUUCAUUUUCUUUCUUUUCCAGAAAUGAACAGUAGCCCUUCCCCUCCCAUUUUCUUCAUUUUUAGAUCUGCCAGGGUUUCAAAAGAAACUCAUUCAUGCGCCGUCAUCAUGCCUCCUUGAAGCCACCGUGGUUUCCACCAUAGACGGUGGUCAGGGCCACGUGAAAUCGGACCAAGCCUUAGUCGUCACUUUUGGGCUGCUCACGGGUAUCAUCGGCGUUCACGCCUCCACUUCUGUCGCAGUUCACGACCUAAGUCGCGUAAAAACAAGAGGAGACCCCUUUUACCCCCUUUUGGUCUGAUACCCAAGUCGGAGGAUGGCCUCCGACGAUCGAAACCGUAGUAACUCGUGCGUGGUCCCUGUUACUUUUCCAUAAUUGUAGGCGGCAGUGGCAAACCACUGGUAGUGGCGGGCCCAGGUGCAGCGGCUAGGGUUUUUUGUUUCCUUUUUUGGUUGAGAAUUAUUUAGGUGUUGGGCCAUUGGGCUUUUUUGGGGGGAGGGUUGGUCUAAUUGGUUUUAUUAUUAUUAUUAUUUGGUAGGCCCGGGCAAAUUUGGGCCUCUACAAAAAAAAAAUUCAUUUUAAGGAGAUUAGACCAUGCGAACCCCUAACUACACCCAUGCUCUAGUGGAUGCAAUACAAAAAGCUUUUGCCAUAUUUGAACCUCUAAAACGAAAAAUGUGUUACUAUAAAUAUUAUACAGAGGAUUAAAUGAAUGUCUAUGUUACAUAAUGUGGAUGUAAAUCUAAGAUCAGUCACUUUUUUUAAUAUUCUUAUAUAUUUGGAAGGGUGUUAGAGAGUCGUAUUUCUACAUUUAUAUUUGGAUAUUCGUCGUGAAUUUAUGGUGUAAUACUUGAGUUCAAAAGUUAGUCAAAUUUGAAAUAGAAAAAAAAUCAAAUUCAAUUUAAUAA